AAUAAACAAAAUCAAUUCAACUUCACAGUGUUUCAUUAAUAAAUAGAACAAAGGAAUUGUUCAGAAAUUAGCAUUAAAUUGAAAGUUAUGCAAUUUAAGCAAUGGUCGAAGAAAAUACCGUAAAUCGACUUGUAAUUGGGCAAUUAAAAAAUCAUCAGUCAUGCCAAAUUUUGUCUUUCAAUUUAAUUGAUAAGAUAAAGUAAUUUGUGCAUUAAAGGGCAUUUUUAAGAAUAAUUCAGUGUAUGGAAGUGAUUGUGAAUGCUAUCGAAGGCAAAGGAACAUCACCUGAAGGGGAAAACUCAGGAAAAGGGAAUUUCAUCAACUCCAGAGAACAAAGGAAAUUUUUGGCCAAUCUAGCCGGAAACCUUGCAAUCCACAGGUGUGUGAUCAACUUCUUCUAUUUUCUUCCUUUGAGAUCAAUACAUUAAUUGUCUCUGGAUAUUCCACCAGAUUUCCACAUAAGCCUCAGAUUAUUCGGGAGGAUCAUCUUCCUACAUUCAUUCUUUGAAAUUAGAGUGUCCUUCACAACAAUUUCCAGCAUAUGUGAUCUACCCUUUAGAUGUGGCAAAAUCCGGGGAAUGAAACUUUUAUCCACGUCUGUGCAUCCCGUAAUGUCGAUGAAUCGAAUGGAUUUAAAUUUCUGGAUCAGAUACGUAAGACCGCUGGAAGUAAUGCUCUUAGCACGCGGUAAGGCCAAAUGAAGCUCCUGUAGAGUCUCAGUGCAGGGAAUGUAGCUCAAUAUGGUGUCGUCGAUAUAAAUUUGGCUGAUGUCCAGCUUCUUGAUGCCCGUCAAGUUUCUAAGAACAUUGGGCAGUACCCCACAAUUGAGUUGCCUAAUGCUCAAGUGCUCCAAUCGAUUGCGUGACGUGAUUUCCAGAAGGAAUUGGUCUAAAUCGAACGAUUCUACUAGCAUAAUUUCCAAAUGUGUGAUCUUCGAUAAUUUCGCCAGCUCAAGAAAAUCUUCCUUCGUUAUAUUUGGGUAAUAGCUGGAAACUGUGAGUUUUUCCAAGUUCUUCAAGUUUGCUGCAACGGCCUGGAUGCACGUCCUAUCUAGUGAAGUACAGCGCCCAAUGUGUAGGGCUCUCAGUUGAGGAUUUGCAACACAAAAUUUCUUAAACAAUCUAGGAUUCAAUCGGCCGCAAUUAUACAGAUUAAUCUUCUGAAUAUCCUGCAGUUCUCUGAAAAACCUUCCUUCAAUAUAAACAUUCCCGGAUAAAUCGAGUGCUUCCAAUUGAUUGAUCUUGAGCACAUACAACAAGAGUCUGUCAUUUAAACAUCUAAUUUUUGCAACUUUAACCUCUCUGCAAACCAUUGAGAGAUCAUGCGUGAAUGUUCUAUCCAUAAAAAAAAACGGAUAAAAGUCUAAAUCAAUGGUCUGCAAAUUCUUGAAGAAGACAAUGAAUUUCGGUAUAUAUGGGCCGCUCUUGCAAAAUGGUAAGGAAUGGAGUUUCAGCGUGUGGGCGUAUUGGCCAACCCGUCGAGCAAUAUUUGUAGCUUCCGGUAGUUGAGGCUGAGUUGAAUAAUACUUGUCCAAAUGAAUCGGUCCGCCGAAUGAAGUGUAGUCCAGCACCCGGAUGCUUCUGUACGUCAUCAUGGCGGUUUCUUUGAACCACUUGCAAACUUUUUCCAUCAUAAGCAGCUCCCGUGCGUUGAGGAAGCUGAAGAUGAGGCACAGACAAUCAGUGUUCAAGGAAUACAUUGAGUUUCUCCGCUCCAAUCUACGCCUCUUGCUGGAUCGUGUCUCCAUUCUGACGGCUUAAACUGUGGAAAACAUAAGGCAGUUUGUAAAAUCUUCAUACGUCUCAAAGAAAAAAGAAAGCAGAAUUAAUACUAACCUCCAAAGUAAUCAGAAAAAAUACUUUUUCUCUCCAAUAAGAACGAAGUAUCGUAGAAAUCCUUUUUGCGACUUCCGCACCUUAGUUUAAUUAAUCAAAUUCCACCCAAAAACUUUAAUAAAAGGGAAUUUAAACCAAUUAAUUUGAUGAAAAUGUUGAAAAUGCUUUAGGACGCGAACGCACGAACUCAAAAUUGCCAACUGAAAAAUUUGUUUGAUAGGGGAAGAUGGGGUGAACUGGGUGAUUUUCGUAUAACUAUUAUUUUUCGAUUAUAAUGUCCAAAGUUAUUUUUGUACUAAAUUGUCAUAAAAGUUUUGUAAUAAAUUUUUUUUAAAGA
Molecule: long non-coding RNA, 2172 nt
Organism: Lutzomyia longipalpis
Lineage: Eukaryota; Metazoa; Arthropoda; Insecta; Diptera; Psychodidae
Exons: 3
Source: RefSeq, a predicted model, not a curated record